Grammomys surdaster is the source of this 1842-nucleotide RNA transcript. It is a transcript of the gene named solute carrier family 36 member 2, with no coding region annotated. NCBI's taxonomy places the organism in Eukaryota, Metazoa, Chordata, Mammalia, Rodentia, Muridae. The transcript has 9 exons. The record is from RefSeq and is a predicted model, not a curated record.
AGCUUGCUGGUGAUGGGCCUCAUCGCCUGCCACUGUAUGCACAUCCUAGUCAGAUGUGCCCAGCGCUUCUGUCACAGACUCAACAAGCCUUUCAUGGACUAUGGGGACACAGUGAUGCACGGACUGGCUUCCAGUCCCAGCGCCUGGCUGCAAAGCCACGCCCACUGGGGGAGGCAUGUGGUGAGCUUCUUCCUCAUUGUCACCCAGCUCGGCUUCUGCUGUGUGUACAUUGUGUUUCUGGCGGACAAUUUAAAACAGGUAGUAGAAGCUGUUAACAGCACAACCAUCAGCUGUCAUGAGAACGAGACGGUAGUUCUGACACCCACCAUGGACUCUCGACUCUACAUGCUCGCCUUCCUGCCCGUUCUGGGGCUUCUGGUAUUCAUCAGGAACCUCCGUGUCCUCACCAUCUUCUCCCUGUUGGCCAACAUCAGUAUGCUGGUCAGCCUGGUCAUCAUUGCCCAGUACAUUAUCCAGGGAAUUCCAGACCCCAGCCAGUUGCCACUGGUAGCAAGCUGGAAGACCUACCCGCUCUUCUUUGGAACAGCCAUCUUUUCAUUCGAAAGCAUCGGCGUGGUCCUGCCUCUGGAAAACAAGAUGAAGGAUGCCCGCCGCUUCCCAACCAUUCUGUCUUUGGGGAUGUCCAUCAUCACCACCCUGUACAUUGCCAUUGGGGCUCUGGGCUACCUGCGGUUUGGAGAUGACAUCAAAGCCAGCAUCACUCUUAACCUGCCCAACUGCUGGCUGUACCAGUCAGUCAAGCUCCUGUAUGUCGUCGGCAUCCUGUGUACUUAUGCCCUGCAGUUCUACGUCCCUGCGGAAAUCAUCAUCCCCCUUGCUGUCUCCCAGGUGUCAAAGCGCUGGGCACUGCCCGUGGACCUGUCCAUCCGGCUCGCCAUGGUCUGCCUCACAUGCACGCUGGCCAUCCUCAUCCCCCGCCUGGAUCUGGUCCUCUCCCUGGUGGGCUCUGUGAGCAGCAGCGCCCUGGCCCUCAUCAUCCCGCCCCUGCUGGAGGUGACCACCUACUAUGGAGAGGGCAUGAGCCCCAUGACCAUCAUCAAGGACGCCCUCAUCAGCAUCCUGGGCUUCGUGGGCUUCGUGGUGGGGACCUACCAGGCCCUGGAUGAGCUGAUCAAAUCCGGGAACUCUCUCCCCCUGUCCAACUCCACCAUGUUUAUUCAGUGACAAAGCCUCUCCUCGCCCACGGUGACUUACGUUGUCUAUGUAUCUUUUCAUUUCGCCUUUUCUCUGGUCCAAGGCACGAAAAAUAGGUGUGGCAUAUCCCCAACCACCGUGUGUGUGCGCGCACAAAGGAGAUGGGAGCCAUCUACAGCACAUACGAGGUGUAGAUAGAUGGUCAUUAAAAACAAAAAAUGCCGGUCGUUCUCUAGUUUUACACACUGUGGAAACCGCCAUCUUGUUUUUGUCAUUUAUCUGCUAAUUUCAUACCUUGAGUGGAGUCAUGCAAAAAAUAGCCACUAGGGGGAAGCAAGCGCCAGCUUUUGGCAGAAGAUGGUCUCUGCUUGCUCAAGCUUCGGUCAUUUCCUUUUCCUGACCAUGAUGGGGAACUUUGUGCUCUCGUCAGCAUCAAGAUGGAGGGGGCCAGGGCCAGUCACAAUACUCAGGGGGAUCUCUCCAGGCUCCCUUUCUGCCUUAGGGAUCUGAGAACAUGAAGUGAAACGGAACACAACAUCGUGCCCAGUCUCCUGGAGGACAGGGGACCAUAUGGAAUAGAAAUGACUCAUCCUUAUUGAAUGCCACACCAAGAUCAACCAGCCUGUUUCUAGACACGUGUGCGAAGCCAUUUGAACAACGUCUACAGUAAAGUUGACCAGAUCAUAA